CCUACGGGAGGCAGCAGUGAGGAAUAUUGGUCAAUGGACGAGAGUCUGAACCAGCCAAGUAGCGUGAAGGAUGACUGCCCUAUGGGUUGUAAACUUCUUUUAUAAAGGAAUAAAACGAGGCACGUGUGCCGUUUUGCAUGUACUUUAUGAAUAAGGAUCGGCUAACUCCGUGCCAGCAGCCGCGGUAAUAUGGAGGAUCCGAGCGUUAUCCGGAUUUAUUGGGUUUAAAGGGAGCGUAGAUGGGUUGUUAAGUCAGUUGUGAAAGUUUGCGGCUCAACCGUAAAAUUGCAAUUGAUACUGGCAGUCUUGAGUACAGUUGAGGUAGGCGGAAUUCGUGGUGUAGCGGUGAAAUGCUUAGAUAUCACGAAGAACCCCGAUUGCGAAGGCAGCUUACUAACCUGUGACUGACAUUGAUGCUCGAAAGUGUGGGUAUCAAACAGGAUUAGAUACCCUUGUAGUC
RNAcentral lists this ribosomal RNA (460 nucleotides) under uncultured bacterium. RNAcentral's name for it is "partial 16S ribosomal RNA". It matches the Rfam family "Bacterial small subunit ribosomal RNA", at positions 338 to 795 of the family's 1533-position model. The record is from RNAcentral.